GAACGCUGGCGGCGUGCCUAAUACAUGCAAGUCGAACGGUCUUUCUAUGGAAGCUUGCUUCCACUGAGAAGAUAGUGGCGAACGGGUGAGUAACACGUGGGUAACCUGCCCAUAAGAGGGGGAGUAACAUCCGGAAACGGGUGCUAAUACCGCAUAGUUUUCUUGAUCGCAUGAUCGGGAAAGGAAAGACGGCCUUUGUGCUGUCGCUUAUGGAUGGACCCGCGGCGUAUUAGUUAGUUGGUGAGGUAACGGCUCACCAAGACGAUGAUACGUAGCCGACCUGAGAGGGUGAUCGGCCACAUUGGGACUGAGACACGGCCCAAACUCCUACGGGAGGCAGCAGUAGGGAAUCUUCCGCAAUGGACGAAAGUCUGACGGAGCAACGCCGCGUGAGUGAAGAAGGUUUUCGGGAAUCGUAAAACUCUGUUGUCAGAGAAGAACAAGUUGGAGAGUAACUGCUCCAGCCUUGACGGUAUCUGACCAGAAAGCCACGGCUAACUACGUGCCAGCAGCAGC
This 516-nucleotide ribosomal RNA is filed under the name uncultured bacterium. Its description in RNAcentral is "bacterial SSU rRNA". It matches the Rfam family "Bacterial small subunit ribosomal RNA", at positions 31 to 518 of the family's 1533-position model. The record is from RNAcentral.